GUACCGGGGGCGGGCCGAGAGACGCAGCCGGGACGGUAGCUGCAGCGCAGAGCAGAGGAGCCAUCUUGUCUUGUCGCCGGGGAGUCAGGCCCCUAACUCGAAGAAGCCCUGGCGCGCCCUCCCCCCCUCCCCGGUCUGGUAGGGCGAAGGAGCGGGCGUGCGGUCGAUCGAGCGAUCGGUUGGCGGCUCUUUCUCCUGCUCUGGCAUCCAGCUCUUGGGGCGCAGGCCCGGCCGCCGCGGCGCGCGCCCGGUGGCCGUUGGCGCUCGCGCCGCGUCUUUCUUCUCGUACGCAGAACUCGGGCGGCGGCCUAUGCUUUUGCGAUCCGACGAGGGGUCGUCCGGGUGGUUGGCGGCGGCGGGCAACUCCGCCCCGCUCCCGGGGAGGCGGCGGGGGAGGCUGGGGUGGCCGGGGCCGGCCUGGAGGCCUGGCGCCACCCUUCGGGGCCUGCUAGGACCCAGUUGGAGGGUCAAGAGGGAGCUGGAGGAUGGUUGGUGGUGGGCUUCCUCCUUUGCCUUUUCCUACUUAUGCCACCUUAGUGGGGAGCGAGAGCGCUGGCGGCAGCUCCGGGGUGGGGAUUCGAGCUCCGGAGUCGGAAGAUCUGGGUUUGCUUCCGGGCCUAGCCACUCGCUGGCCGAGUGACCUUAGGCAAGUCACUCUGUAAUCUGUCUGCGCCUCAGUUUCCUCCUCUGCCUAUCAGUGUGUGUAUGGAAUUGGAAGCUCUCUUCAAAAGUGUCGGUUUACAGAAAGAUGAUUAUUGUUUUUUUUUUUCCUUUGAGUUUCAAGAAGACGUAACAAUUGCUCAUUCCCUGAAAUUAAAUUCGGGAACCUUUCAUUGGAGUUGGAGAUGGGAAGGUUCCCUGAACUUCUUCUGUACAGAAACACGUGGGAAAGUGUUUUCUAGGGGGAUGAGUAGAUCCUUCAGUAGCGAGUUUUCAAAGGGGGCUAUGACCCAGAAGAGUUUAGAACAGUUUUUGCCACCGGGAGGAAACUGAGGCCUACAUGUCAUUUGGGACCCUUCACAACCAAUAUGAAGCCCCCAUUUGAGUCCCUGGUAUAUGUGAGCUGCUUCUUAUUGCAUAAUGGCUGUUUCAGGUACCAUCACUUCACUGCUUGGCUUUUAGUCAAAGCCCUUUCCUUUCACCAUAGGGUGCCUGAAGGGUGGCUAAUGCAUAUGGUACAAUGGCACCCACUAGAAAGCAGCUACAAUUAGGAGUGAAUGUGUUCAUGAGUAACAAGAAGUGUAAUCUUUGGCCCAGCGAUUGUUUUCUGCUGCUCAUACUGGUGCCUGACUACUUUUCUUUUGUUAGCUAUUUUUUUUACAACCAUGAUUGACAUCCAUUAUUUGCUCCUAUUUUGUAUCCCUGGUUUUCGUGGUUGAUAGUGAACAGGCUUAUUUUUAAAUGGUGCUGCCAAAACCAAUUAAUAGUGCACAUGGAUUUUUAGCAAGAGGGCUACUUGGAACAGACUGAACCAGGUGUUGGAUUCCUGAAAAUGUUUGGGAUUAUUUUUUUUUUUUUUUGGUGUUUUUUUGUUUUGUUUUGUUUUUUAAAUUGAAGGCUAAAGUUUUCGAAAAAACUUUGUUGGACUCUGGCUGGAACACAAAAUCAGAUAUUUGGAAUCAUUUUGAAGCUUAACUUUUUCCUAGCCAGCCUUGUAUUCUAAUUGCUUGCAAAUGUGAGACUGAAUGGCCAAAAUGCCGUUUGUUUGUUUGUUUAUUGUCAGCUGCUUUUAUCAAAUUCCAGGCCAUUAUCCAGCAAACACUAUUAAAAUGUUUGAACAGUUGGGUUUCAAACAUUUUUGUUUUGUGGAGUGGUGCUUAUUAAGUGGUACAGCUCUCUAAGCAAGUGAACACAAACAUAUUUAAGUGUAUUUUGUAUGAUUAGAUGUUACCAAUUCUGAUAUUUUAUUCAAAUGUCUAAAAAAAUAAGUUGACUUAUUCCCUUUACCAAAGGGCCAGAGACAAAUGGUUUCCUUUCAAGAGAAAUGACUGUUUUGAAGAAAAACUGUGUUGGUCUUAGCUCUUUUGUAAUUAAAUCUGGAUGUACCUCAAAAGACUCUUUAAGACUGUGGUGUUAAAAGGCUUUCCUCUGGAGAAGGAGAAAAUAUCAACUGGAACUUAAAAACUUGAAAUUCCAUGACAAAACACAGAUGUCCAGGAUUGGAGGUUCAUAAAGUACAUGCAGUAGUUGGAGUGGAUUCCAUUUUCAGUGUAGCUGCCACCAUGGACUCCAAGCUCCCAGAUUUUCAAGAACUGGACCUGUGACCCAGAAGAGCUUGUCAAGAUAUGACAGGAACUCUGGAGGUGGACGUUUUAUAUUCAAUUUUGGAACUGGUUGAUCUUGCCGUGAGUAAAGAGAGACACGACUCACCAAGCACUGCCACCAGCACUGUUACUGGGAACUUGAAGACCCAAGUUUCUGUCCAGAACCUCAGUGCAAUCUGACAACACUCCAUCCAAAGUGAACUACGUCCCGUGCCUCCUGGUUGCUGAAUGUUCACCUGGACCCUCCAAUGACCUUCCUUCCUGCUACUCCAUCAGCCUACAGACCUGGUACUUGGAUUUUUGUCCAUGGUGAUUCCUACCACCUUACUACUGAAGAAGACACCAUUCCAGUGGACCACUGUGACCCAAGAAGCAUUCAGCCAUCAUGAUGUGGCCUUUACCUCCACUCCUGUCCUACUCUGCCCAGAUUCAGCACAGCCCUUUAUAGUGCAGUCAAGAGUCUUCAAGCCAAAUAACUGAAGCUAUUUUAUCACAACAAAGGCCAGGUCUAUUCCAUAAAUGUACAGUUAAUUUCUGCAGUUUAUUCUUCAGAGACACAUAGUAAACUUGGACCAGGGGAUUUUGUUUUGUUUAUAUUGUCAACACUGUCUGAAGAAAGGCAUCUCUGAGAACAGCAUUGGACCCUACUCCACAAUCUCAAAUGAUUGAAGUUUCAUGAACUGCCUAGGAUCCUGUCAAGGCCACUGGACUCUUGUUCUUUUCCUACUUCAAAAUCUGUAGCUGUCUCUAAAUGACAAAGCAGAUAUUCUGACCCAUUGGGAUCAAAACCAAGGCAUAUUGAAUUCCUCAUAGUAUCAUCUUCGGGUUACUCAGGAACCAAAACUUUUCACACCAAUUUAAGAAAUUCUACUGAGGAAUCCCUUUACUUAACCAUCUCACAAGGCUUCAACCAGAUUCCUGAAAAGGCCUCUUGAUAUAUCAAGAUAGAACCUACAUGCAUUUUGUGAACAACUUAUCACUGAUUUUCCAAAGGCUUUAUGCUCAUGAAGUUCUUUGAAGGAAAGCUGUGUGGAAGUCCAGAGUAAAGUGAAGCUGCUCUGGAUGAAGUAAUGAAGUGGGAGUUAAGGUCUACAACCUGCCACAACCAUCUUCCUUGACCACCAUGGUGAUGAAGUAAUGAAGUGGGAGUUAAGGUCUACAACCUGCCACAACCAUCUUCCUUGACCACCAUGGUGAUGCCUAAAGGGACUUCCUUAUAUAAAGCUCUUCAGAAAAUCCUGCUUGAAACCACUACCCUAGACAACAUGUUUGACCUGAAUGGCAUUCUCUUCAAAACAAUUCAUAUUCAGUUGAUGCUCAACAUGUUUGAAGAUGCUUUAUUCAGAGAAUGAUGAUAAUACAGCAUUGUCUAAUGAAGUUUUAUUAAUAGCAUUCCAUCCAAGGUGGACUUCCUGGAGUUGGAUAUAACCAGAGAGCAAUUCAUAUGUAUCCUACACUGAAGAACACCAUUAACUUUCAGCAACCUAUAGCUAGUGGACUUACUAGAAGUACGUGACUUGGAAGUCUAUGAGAGCUGGUAUUGAAGUUGAUGCCUCCUUAAGGCCAUCUUAGACCAAGUUGUUCUUUUGACCUCUCCUCAUUAACUAUGAAGCAGAAUUGAAAUACAAUUUUUCCUAAAGGGACUUGCAACCUGGUUAUCAUUAUCUCAAGUUUCAAGUCAUGUUGAUGCAACCAGUAGUUAUUAAACUGCUCCAUGGUUUUUUUGUUAUUUAAUAAAUACUUUUUCCAGGGCUUAAAAAAACGAAACUAAAUUUCUCCAACACGUCUAUACUUGUCUAUUCAAAAGUAACUACUCACCACUAUAUGGAACAGAUGAUUCUGAAGACACUCUUUGAGCAUCCUUUGUGAUACUUGUGACUUAAAAUGUGGCUGGAAACUUUCCUUCUACCCAGUGAAAUAUUUAAUGAUUAGUCUUCAUGCCUGAUACCAUCAACUGUAUAUGUGUGAUAAGCAAAGUUUGACAUAGGCAUUUGACUCUAGGCUAUGAUAGCUUGCUAGUAACUUCAAGUAGCAUAUUGUCAACCUGUUUGCUGGAAAAGUAGAGUGACUUGGAAAAAAAUCUAAAUGGCAGCUAAGGAUUUUUUCAGUAUUCCUGAGUUUCUGUCCUUGGGAUAUUUCAAUGAAAUUUUCACCUGUCUCUUCACUUAACAGAGUGACUGACUCCUUACUAUGAAGUAUUCUUAAGACAUUAAGAUUAUUUUUGUAGAAAGGAUAAAAUUCCUGACCAUCCAAAUCAUCAUAGUGAACAAGACUUCAAUUUGUGACCUAAGAAAAUCUCAUUUCUCUACUUCGUAGUCAAUGUAAGGGCCAAAUGCUAUCAGCUACUCUGAAUGCACUGGGUAAACGUUGGAACUGCCUUCUUUAUAUCAUUAUUUCUUAUCCUCUAAUCAUGGUUACGUAAUUCUCACCACAAAUCAGCAAAUCAGACUCACAUCUGGUUAUUCUAGACUGCUCACAGUUAACAAAUCAAACUCUGAAUGACUUCUGCUUGUAUAUGCAACUACUAUUUGUAAAGAAAUUGCAAAUUCACUUUUCUAUUACCUCUACAUUGCUAGCUCUUUCUUUUGUGUUUGUAUUAAAAACAAAAAUAAGCUACACUGCCAGCUAUUCCCUCCUGCCAUACUCAGUUAAAAUGAAGAAUCGGGAAUCUAACCAGUGAAUGGAUAAGUAGAAAAAACUAAAACUUAAGGCAAAAGCCUUAAUCUAGGGCCUUUUCUACUAUCUUCAUGUCUUGGAUUUCAUCUAAAUCAACAGUGCCACCCAACCAGUCUGAGGUCUUGACUUGCUUUUAAGAUGAUUCUUAGAGAUGGGCUAUAUUACAGAAGGUGAAGACUUGAUUACCAAAGAAAGUAGAGCCAACUAUGACAAACCUGGCUCUACGAUCCUAUUGCUUCCAGAUGUAGCAUAGACUCAUAACUAGAACCUCAAGUCUGCAUUGAGGAUAUAGCCUUCUAAGCUGACAGUUCUUGCAACAGGUGAGCAAGAAAAUGAAAGCUGUUAUACCCAACUGGCCCUUUAAGAUCCAAAAAUAAUGUCUGGACUAAACCCUAUGGAGUACCCAGGACAAAAACUAAUUUACAGAGCUUCAUUAUUAAUCUGCCUGUUCUUCUAGCUUAAUUAUUGGUAUGACUGGCCCUGCUGAAGUAGUUUGUCUGUUUACCUGUCUUCAGCUCUUAACCUGCCUAUUUUGACAUGCUACUGCAAUUAGACUAACUGGCUUUGAGAAGACUACAAUCAGUUUCAGCCUCUCCUUUGCCCAAUUUCACCAAAGAAUUUUGAAUAAGAGGAACCCAUACCUCACCCCACCAGAACAGGAAGGACCGUGCUGCAUAUUCCUUGACCAGCAACUUUAAGUAGAGGAGUAGAGAACAACCCUGCUUGUUUUCUAUACCUGAAACACCAUUUGAUCUAAUAGGAGUAUAGAAGAUUGACAGCAGAGUACACUGCUUGCUUCUUUGGUAACUCAGAAAUGAAUAUGACUGGCCCAGAAAUUGUAAGUUCACCUUGACAAGAAACAGCAACACCAGAAGUUUACUGCUGAACUUAAUUUGCCACUUACUCGAAUAGCCUCGCAGACCUGCUUGCCAAGUAGGAGGCUAGUUUUCCUGCUUCAUAUCACCAUUGUAGUGGGGCUCAAUGGUGUCAGUCUUAAUACUGACUUGAAUGGGGACCUUAUGGUGAAUCCUAGACUAUGAGGCUAAUGGAAAUUGUCUAUUCAAGUGGAUUAUAGGUUUCCUGAGGACAGAACAGACAUCACUCCUGGUGAUUUUUAGAACUUGAUUACCAAGGAAGAAAUACCAGCUGCUAACAGUCAACUUUAUGGGCAAAGAUUAAGCUCUCUAUAUCUGGUCUUAUCCUGGAUGCUAGUUUUUUAUUGCCCAGUGACCAUUUCCAUCUCACGCUUAACUUCCUGAUGUUUUUUGGAACCAUCUCUUCCAAUUUUCAGUCCUGGUGAUUUAGACAGUCUUUUCAUGCUGGACAUUUUGUUGCAACCUCAUCAAUCACAGCAAAGUCCAUCUUGACUCUAGUGAUUAGUUCAGGAAUGGAUGCAUGAUUCAAGUUUGUCCAAUGAUAAUCAACCCUAGGUGUUUUCUCAGUUGUGGAGAAGUUCUCUUAGAUGCUUUAGCUUUGUAGGAGAAAACUCAAACCAACAGGGCCUACCUACUAUGUUGAAUGAUUGUAGGAGAAAACUCAAACCAACCAGGCCUACUACUGUGUUGAAUGAGCCGGGCAGAAAAUGAAGCCAGUACAGAGGGAAAUGGAGCCAAAAGAGGAAGAGACUUGAGUUCUGAUGAUCACAUUUUUGCCCCUGUAUCCAACUGUGCCUGAAGCUAAUAGUACAUCACCUGGACUUUUCAGUUAUGUGAACCAAUAAAUUCCCCUUUUUGUUUAAGUUA
Molecule: non-coding RNA, 6682 nt
Organism: Mus caroli (Ryukyu mouse)
Lineage: Eukaryota; Metazoa; Chordata; Mammalia; Rodentia; Muridae
Source: RefSeq, a predicted model, not a curated record